Molecule: ribosomal RNA, 429 nt
Filed under: uncultured Paracoccaceae bacterium
Lineage: Bacteria; Pseudomonadati; Pseudomonadota; Alphaproteobacteria; Rhodobacterales; Paracoccaceae
Description: bacterial SSU rRNA
Rfam family: Bacterial small subunit ribosomal RNA
Source: RNAcentral
AACGAACGCUGGCGGCAGGCUUCAUACAUGCAAGUCGAGCGCACCUUCGGGUGAGCGGCGGACGGGUUAGUAACGCGUGGGAAUGUGCCCUUCACUACGGAAUAGCCUCGGGAAACUGAGAGUAAUACCGUAUACGCCCUUCGGGGGAAAGAUUUAUCGGUGAAGGAUCAGCCCGCGUAAGAUUAGAUAGUUGGUGGGGUAAUGGCCUACCAAGUCUACGAUCUUUAGCUGGUUUGAGAGGAUGAUCAGCAACACUGGGACUGAGACACGGCCCAGACUCCUACGGGAGGCAGCAGUAGGGAAUCUUCGGCAAUGGGCGAAAGCCUGACCGAGCCAUGCCGCGUGAGUGAUGAAGGCCUUAGGGUCGUAAAGCUCUUUCGCCUGGGAUGAUAAUGACAGUACCAGGUAAAGAAACCCCGGCUAACUCCG